UUAAUUUUACAUAAACAACAGACAUAUCUGUGGUACAGGUAUGUCCCAUGUGAUAUUUGGGACAUACUUAUCCUAAAGAAAAGUGUAUGCUGGCU
Molecule: microRNA precursor, 95 nt
Filed under: Otolemur garnettii (small-eared galago)
Lineage: Eukaryota; Metazoa; Chordata; Mammalia; Primates; Galagidae
Description: miRNA (ENSOGAG00000034218.1)
Source: RNAcentral